This is a non-coding RNA of Fukomys damarensis (Damara mole-rat), 568 nucleotides long. NCBI's taxonomy places the organism in Eukaryota, Metazoa, Chordata, Mammalia, Rodentia, Bathyergidae. The record is from the annotation of a RefSeq genome assembly.
GCCUGUGAGAAGCAGUCUUUAGAUCAGCUCUCAGAGAUGGGGUCAGGAGCUCCUUUGCUGUGGUUGCUGCUGAUUUGGGUUCCAGGCUCCACUGGGGAUAUUGUGCUGACUCAGUCUCCAGCCUCUUUGACCCUGUCUUCUGGUGAGAAGGCCACCAUCUCCUGCAGGGCCAGCCAGAGUGUUGAUGAACUAUUUGGCAUUUUCAAAAAUAUGCACUGGUAUCAACAGAAACCAGGACAGCCUCCCAAACUCCUGAUCUAUGAUGCAUCCAACCGGGCCUCUGGUGUGCCAGACCGCUUCAGCGGCAGUGGGUCUGGGACAGACUUCACCCUCACCAUUCACCCUGUGGAGGCCCAGGAUGCUGCGCAUUAUUUCUGUCAACAGGUUCUACCAUGGAGCCAGCCUGCAGAGGAGAAGGUUACACUGGGACACAGAUUGGAAGAACUGCAGUUGUGGUGCUGCACAUGGAGUCACAACUCAGAAGUUCGAGGCUGCAAACAAUCUUGAGAACCAUGCAAUAACAUUCUGGGAACAGUCUGCUUUUGAGAAAGUAUAUUAAUAACUAGAA